This is a long non-coding RNA of Passer domesticus (house sparrow), 875 nucleotides long. RefSeq lists it as uncharacterized. The record is from RefSeq and is a predicted model, not a curated record. Lineage: Eukaryota; Metazoa; Chordata; Aves; Passeriformes; Passeridae. The transcript is spliced from 3 exons.
GUUGGUUGACAGUGUACCCAUGUGGACAGCAGGCAUCCUGGCUUUUAUCAGCAACACAGCAGGACCAGGGCAGGAGUUGUCACCCUGGAUUGGGCACUGGUGUUUGUAGACCUUCUUUCUGUAGAGGACUAAAUGGAUCCAGAAAAGCCUCCAGAAUGGCUAUAGUGCUGUCCAGUUUGAUUUUAUUCAGACAAAAAUUUAUGUUGUGAAGAGACACUUUGCAACAAGAGGAUCUAUUCCAGAUCAAAGCCAUACCAAAGAAGUAAAUAAAGGAAGGAUGGGAAGAAGGACAAAAGAGAAGGAGGGAGUAUAACUAAAUAAAAUAAUUAAUAAAGCAGUAUUCAAGCUGAAAUUCUUAUGUAAACUUUCAUUUUAAAUCCCUUAAGCAAAUUAGUCGUUUAAGGCUUUCAGGUCCUUUAAUUUUUUUCCUACCUUCUCCUUUCUGUUAAAUGGUGGCAGAUGCUUCACUAUAUUUGUUCAGUUAAAUGUAUUUUUCCCAGUCCAACUCUUCAGUUUGCUUUCAUUGUAGCCUGAAAGGUUUCUCUUGAGUAUUUUUUACCCACAUUUUUUUCAUACUUAUUAGGUCUUGAGAUGCACCUUAUUAUGUUUUCCUGGAUUAUUCCAUGCACCAUUGAAAAUUUGCUUUUUUAUUUGGACUUCUAUUGAAUGUUCCUUUCAAAUGACUUCCACACUCAGAAAAAGGUUGAAAUUAGUAUUACUGUUAUUUAAUAUUGCAGUGGCCAUGAGAAAGGAAUCUAGAGGUUUUAAUGAGAGAUUUUCAAGGGUUUGUUUGUAUUUAUAAGGCCAGGAAUUACUAUGAACAAAUAGUUUUAACAAUAGAAUUACAGGUUUCCACUAGUACCAUAGUUUUAAAG